RNAcentral lists this ribosomal RNA (490 nucleotides) under uncultured bacterium. RNAcentral describes it as "partial 16S ribosomal RNA". It matches the Rfam family "Bacterial small subunit ribosomal RNA", at positions 30 to 507 of the family's 1533-position model. The record is from RNAcentral.
AUUGAACGCUGGCGGCAGGCCUAACACAUGCAAGUCGAACGGUAACAGGAAGAAGCUUGCUUCUUUGCUGACGAGUGGCGGACGGGUGAGGAAUGUCUGGGAAACUGCCUGAUGGAGGGGGAUAACUACUGGAAACGGUAGCUAAUACCGCAUAACGUCGCAAGACCAAAGAGGGGGACCUUCGGGCCUCUUGCCAUCGGAUGUGCCCAGAUGGGAUUAGCUAGUAGGUGGGGUAACGGCUCACCUCGGCGACGAUCCCUAGCUGGUCUGAGAGGAUGACCAGCCACACUGGAACUGAGAAACGGUCCAGACUCCUACGGGAGGCAGCAGUGGGGAAUAUUGCACAAUGGGCGCAAGCCUGAUGCAGCCAUGCCGCGUGUAUGAAGAAGGCCUUCGGGUUGUAAAGUACUUUCAGCGGGGAGGAAGGGAGUAAAGUUAAUACCUUUGCUCAUUGACGUUACCCGCAGAAGAAGCACCGGCUAACUCCGUG